UACAGAGGUCUCGAGCGUUGUUCGGAUUUAUUGGGCGUAAAGAGCGUGUAGGCGGCUUGGUAGGUCCGCUGUGAAAACUCGAGGCUCAACCUCGAGAUGUCGGCGGAAACCACUUGGCUAGAGUCCGGAAGAGGAGAGUGGAAUUCCUGGUGUAGCGGUGAAAUGCGCAGAUAUCAGGAAGAACACCUAUGGCGAAGGCAGCUCUCUGGGACGGUACUGACGCUGAGGAGCGAAAGCGUGGGGAGCGAACAGG
Molecule: ribosomal RNA, 253 nt
Filed under: uncultured bacterium
Lineage: Bacteria
Description: partial 16S ribosomal RNA
Rfam family: Bacterial small subunit ribosomal RNA
Source: RNAcentral